CUACGGGUGGCAGCAGUGGGGAAUAUUGGACAAUGGGGGAAACCCUGAUCCAGCAAUGCCGCGUGUGUGAAGAAGGCCUGCGGGUUGUAAAGCACUUUCGGUUGGGAGGACUGCUUCUAGCACUAAUAUUGUUGGAAGUUGACGUUACCUUCAGAAGAAGCACCGGCUAACUCCGUGCCAGCAGCCGCGGUAAUACGGAGGGUGCAAGCGGUAAUCGGAAUGACUGGGCGUAAAGCGCGCGUAGGCGGCUAGAUCAGUCGGGUGUGAAAGCCCCGUGCUUAACCUGGGAACUGCAUCCGAUACUGUCUAGCUUGAGUACAGGAGAGGAGAGUGGAAUUCCACAUGUAGCGGUGAAAUGCGUAGAUAUGUGGAGGAACACCAAUGGCGAAGGCAGCUCUCUGGCCUGAUACUGACGCUGAGGUGCGAAAGCGUGGGGAGCAAACAGGAUUAGAUACCCCAGUAGUC
Molecule: ribosomal RNA, 465 nt
Filed under: uncultured bacterium
Lineage: Bacteria
Description: partial 16S ribosomal RNA
Rfam family: Bacterial small subunit ribosomal RNA
Source: RNAcentral